Molecule: ribosomal RNA, 279 nt
Filed under: uncultured bacterium
Lineage: Bacteria
Description: partial 16S ribosomal RNA
Rfam family: Bacterial small subunit ribosomal RNA
Source: RNAcentral
UGCCAGCAGCCGCGGUAACACGGGGGGCGCAAGCGUUAUUCGGAAUUAUUGGGCGUAAAGGGCGCGCAGGCGGUCUUGUCCGUCUGGUGUGAAAGCUCGGGGCUCAACCCCGGAAGUGCACUUGAAACAGCAAGACUUGAAUACGGUAGAGGAGAGAGGAAUUCCUGGUGUAGAGGUGAAAUUCGUAGAUAUCAGGAGGAACACCGAUGGCGAAGGCAUCUCUCUGGGCCGAUAUUGACGCUGAGAACCCUAGGCGCCGGUAGAGAACGGCGUUAGAUG